CCGGUGAUGGAGUGUAAUGAAACUCCCGUCUCCAGACGGGGACUGCAGAAAGUACACCCGCCCGGUCAUCCAGUUUUUAACUGGCCUGAGCUGCCUACCCAGGGCCGCCUAACGACCACAGCCAAACACGGCAGUGAAUUGGGUUUUGAACGUUCCAGGCCGUUACAGACGGGCACACACCAACCCUAUGGGCAAGCGCUGCUACCCUCCUCUGUGCAGGCGCGCGCGCUGCGGGGAGAGCGCGGGAGUCACUUCUCAAGACCCAGAGCUAGCAGAGGCGGGGCUGAUGGAAGCCCGGGUCUGACGGACAGGCCCAGCGGAGCUGCGCUCCCGCCCUUGCCGGGGGCUGGGGGGAUGGGGAGACGCCCCUGGGGCCCCGCCCACCCCCCGCGCGUCCCCGUCGCCUUCGGCCCCCGGCGCGUGGCCGCGCUCGGCCGACUGAGUGGCCCGAGGCCAGCUCGCCGUGCACGGGCCCGCCGCCCGCAGAAGGCGCCCGCUGGGGCGGAAAUCUUGGGCCCGCUCUGCCUCUCGCUCCCGACGGGACUCCGUUCCGGCCUCAGUUUCCUAUCUGUGUAAAUGACGUCAACCAUGUUUCUGCACCACCCAGCGAAAGGUGAACGCUGCGGACACAGCCUGAAAUUUCUUUGAAGUCUCCUAUUUUCAGCUAAAAGAAUUCCUAGAGUUUUAUAUUCUCCAUCAUUAUUUGUUUCAAUAAGAAUUUUACAGUUUUUAAUUUAAAAAGGAGUAAAAUUGCCACCCAAGAAAAAUAGUCUGUGCUUUAUCUUGUGGUUGAGUACCCCUGUUUGAGACACCCAAGGAAGUUCUGGACGGCCCUUUCUCUUCCCAUUGGUCUGUGGAUCCGGUUCCUUGUGGUUAUUCUUUAUUCUUCCCGUUAAGACCAUCACAGUCUCAGCAAUGACAGGUGGGGUGGGGGAAAGCCUGGAUAUUCGGUUCGAAUUCCCUGUUCUGCCGUUUCUUGCCGCUGGGACCUCGGCCAAGCCAUGUAAACUUGCCGAGCCUCAGUCCCCCGUCUGUAAAACGAGGAGAACGUUCCUCGAGGGGUUGCGGCGAGGAUCGGGGGCGCAGGUCCGCCCGGGCGCGCGGGCUCAGCGAAGGCGGCCAGCACCGAGCACCCGGCGGGAACCUAGGGUCGCAGGGCGCGCCGCUCCCCCUGCGCCUCGCUGGCCCGGAGCGCCCGCCCGCGAGCCCCGCCUCCCCGCGGCGCCGUCCACACAGCAAGCAGCCGGCGGAGGCCGGCCUUGUAUGGACAGCCGCUGGAGGCCGGGCCGCGGCGGGGGAGGCCGCCAGCGGCGCUGUGGGCGCCAGAGGAUCUGAGAACAAACCCACACCUGCGGGAAAGAGGCGCCGGAACGCCCCCUCGGAUCGCGGAUCGCUGACCGCGGCCGGAAGGCGGCCUUGGGGACCCGCCCACGCGCCCCGGCCCCCUGGAGAGGCUGGCAGGGCUCCGAGGACUCUCGGAUUCUUGCCAGGCCAGGCCUGCUGCCGCCCAGACCCCGCCGUCCUCGGGUCACCUGGGGGGGCGCGACUUUGCGGCUGGGAGCGAGAUCGGGAUCCUACACGAAGAGGGGAAAGGGAACCCCGCCAUAGGAGCACCAACUACGUGCUAGGCACUGUGCCUGGCUUCUUUAACUGACUUCUCACGCCACGCUUUGAGGAAGAGAGUCCCGUUUUUCAUCUGGGAAAACCGGUUCAGACGGGCCAAGUCACGUGCCCAAGACCACAAAAGCCUGUCGGUGGAACAGCUGGGAUUCCAGCACGACUCAUGCUCGGGCCUUGCCGCCCAAAGGCGCCGCCGGGAGGCGCAGGGGGAGGCGCGGGGGCGGCGUGAGGACCCCGCAAUUUCAGGGCGCCGCCCCCGCACGCGUUUUCCCUCCCCGCCGGCGGGCGGUGCACAGCCCCCUCCAGUCCUACCUGUCAGCUGAUUCGCUGCUGCCCCGCCCGCUCGCCUGAUGGAGCAGCCGGAAGUCGCACGCCCGGUGACCGCUGACCUAGAGCCUCCAGUCGUAUCAUUGCCAAAGCCAGUGUCGCCCUGGAGGACACAGAGAUGCGCCCAGGGCGUGCGUUUCUCCUGCCUCCGCCCGAGUCACGGGGUUGCAUCCGGUCCGGGAGCAAUGGAAACUGGUCCAGCCGCCGGUUCCCGGCAGGUCCCCGCCCACGCCCACCCCGCGGAGGCCCCAGCAGGUUGCUUCACUUUCCCUGGCCCAGCUCUUGCCGGAGGCGAGGAAGGGAAGCUGGUUGCUCAACCUGACGGAGCAUUGUUCUGGUUCUCAUGUGACUUGUCGACCAGCUAUCAGCCAGGAACUCCCCGUGUGGUUGGCAGUGCAAGCGCUUCAUACCCAUCUUACAGAUGAGGAAGCCGACUCGGACACAGUAAUGGGAUCGUCCAUGUCUGGCAAGUUUUCCAGACCAGGACCCUGAAGAGGAGUGGCCUCAUGAAAUAGGGGAGAUAGUAUGACCUUGGCCUGCCCUCCCUGAAACCCUAGAUGACUGAUUCAAACUGAACUGUCUGGGGAACUUCCUUUGACCUAAAUCCUGUCCGCCAUACCCUGAGCAGCAGCCAGAAAAUACAAACAGCCACACCCUCUGCAUUGCUGCCUCAACUUGCACUUCAUGCCGGGGGGUGUCUCAUUCAAGGACGAUGUUUAAAAAAGGGAAUAAUAUAUGCUAAUUGGACACCUACUAUGUGCCAGCCACCACACCAGGCAUGCUCAUGCAGGUUAUCUCAGCCUGUGUGAGCUGUCUUAUGUGGGCAGGGAAAGGAGGAGGAAGCGGAACAGGACGAGGAGGAGGAAAGAAUCAGUUUACCCCAGCUGCUCUCCGUAAUCUGACUUGACACAUGCACAGAUAACCCUGAGCGUUCCUUCUAAAAUGCAGAUAUACUGAUGUUGCCCCAGCUCCCUUGCUUAAGACCUCUCAGUAGUCUCCCACUGCUUUGUACAAAGUCCACACUGUAGAAAGGCAUGCUCAGCUGGCCACUUGAUCACAUCUGCAUUGCCCACAUCUCCUGGCCUUUGCACAUUAAGGGUCAGGGACCAUGCUCUGUCCUUUGUCCUCAGCAUCAAGCACAGUGUGACUCAUAAAGUCAUUCAAUAAAUGUUUACUGGAUGGAUGAGAAAAGGUUGAGCAUGAAAAUUAUCCCCGUUUAACAGAGGGGAAAACCAAGUCUCAAAGAGGGCAGAAUGCCUGUCUGUCAGACAGCGGGCAAGGGGCGAGUCACGCCGCUGUUGAAUCCAUCUCAAUCCAUCAGGCUGGUUUCACUAUUCCACUCACACGGAAGGUAACACAGCCUCCUUCUGAGUUUCCUCAUCGAAGUUGUUCCUAGCACUGUCUUUCAAAAUCGCACAGAAACACAACCCAGGUCCUGAUACGGUUCUGACUUUAGGUGCCUGAGACAUAGGAUACCUCAUGGCAUCUUAGGGAGGCCGACACCAUCAUGUCUAUUUAUCAGAAGAGGAAGCUGGUUCAGAGAGGCUAAGUGAUUUGCCCAAGAUUCCACAGCCUUCCAACCCACGUCAGUCUCUGACUCCUAAGCCCAGGUUCUUCCCACCUCCCCAGGCAGCCUUCUGACGUGGGGGCGUGGCCUUACGCCCCAGCGGGCGCCAGUUCUCCCUCCACGGGAUACCGAUGAGACUCCGUCGCCUGUCAGCAGCCUCUGCGGUUGGCCCAGGUGUCAUUCCAAUGCUGGCGUUUUUCUCUGGCCACUCUUCCCUUCUCCCCUUGGGCUCCAGCAUCUGCACUGGCUCCACCUCUGGAGAAAAGACAGGGCAUGGCAAGCCGCCGCUGUUCCUUAUGCUCAGGAACCGGCCCCCUUGAGAACCUCGCAGGUAGGGGCCGACCCUCCCAUUCUCGGGUGUCUCAACAGACGAACUAUUGAGCAAUUACACACGCCCUUGACCGCAGCUCCCACAACCUUUCCUGACUCCUAGGAACUGCUCCCCGACUCUAGGGUCACCCCGAGAGUUUUCUUAAGGUGCUGUCAUUGAUUGAUUUGUUCAAAGACUAUUUGAGCAUCUAGUACAUGCCCAACAGAGCUCUUUUGGCUAACAGUGUUCCCCUUGGAGGCCUGGCACUACGUCAGCUGUCUGAGAUGAGGAAGUUCCCCGGACCGUCUAGACCAGACAAGAAGUGCCGUGAGCGCAGGGGCUGCAUCUGGCUUGUCUGUCCCUCUGUACCAUUGCCUAGAGCCCGAGGCCCUUAUUAAGGAUUUGUUGAAUGACUGAAUAGCUAAAUAGGAAAGAUCCAUUCAUCUCUUAAAAGUUGCUUCCAAUCAUCCACUUAGAGAUAGGAAUCACGGCACGUUAGAGUCAAAAGGGACCAGAGAGGAAAAAAAACCUACUUUAAUGCCUCAUUUUACAGAAAGGGAGAGCCAGAGAAGGAAGAUAUAGAGUUCACGGCAGAGUCUAAAGUACAACUCAGGCCUCCUGACGUUUGCCUGAGCGCCUUCUCGGUACUGGAACCCCGCUCCAAACCAUACACGCUUCUCCUCCAAUUCUCACAGCAGCCCUCUGGGGCCUGGUGCAGGGGAGGAAAAGCAUUACCACUGCCAGAGAGCAGAAGAGAAGCCUGGGGCUCCCAGAGGGGACGUGGAGUCUACCCAAGUCACACAGCCAGAACCUUGGGCUUUCUCAUGCCGCCCAGGCUAAGAGCUCAUUCUCCCCCAGUCUCUCUCUCUCCAGUUCCCUCCUUUUAUGAGCCUUCAAAGAGAUUUGAAAAGAUAGGUGGGCCCUACAGUUGCAAAGACUUUCAUCUUUAUUAUUCGUUCCACUUCUGGAAGGUUUGGUCAACCUCUCUGCCCAGUGCAAAACAUUAAUGCCAUUCAGGUAUUCAAAGCUGUCAUCUCUUCAUAAAGGGGGCUGGUGGCCCAAACGCUUGUCUCAGAUGGCAGAUGUUCUCAAAUGACGCUGAGGACAGCUUCCACUUUUUCUGGAGACACAGUGGGGACCAGGGGUCUCUGGAAGACUAUUAGAGCCCAUCUCAAAUGGACUCCAUCCACACCAGGUCCCUCUGACCACAGGCUCAUCCAGGCCACAGGUCCUGCCUUCCCCAUCAUGGCUGGUGCCACCUCAGCAGCCACAUGCUCUGGAGAUGGUGAGGGAAGGUCUUACAAGGAGGCCAGGCAUCUUAGGGAAAAAAGAAGAAAAAAGGCCAAAUGAGCAAGGGUGGCAUGUUGUCCCCUUCUGACAUCACACUCGAGUGACCUGCAGCGAAGAUUCUUAUCUCCGGGCGGAGCAGCUCAGUUACUCAGGAAUGAACAGCUAAAGCACUUCUCUUUCUCGAAGAACAGGGGUAGGGUCAGCAUGCCAGCAUCCUGGGCCAUGAAUUAGAGAUAAUUUACAACUUUCCUGAAAAAUAAAGUGUCC
Molecule: long non-coding RNA, 5381 nt
Filed under: Equus caballus (horse)
Lineage: Eukaryota; Metazoa; Chordata; Mammalia; Perissodactyla; Equidae
Description: lncRNA (ENSECAG00000057338.1)
Source: RNAcentral